UACGGAGGAUGCAAGCGUUAUCCGGAAUGAUUGGGCGUAAAGCGUCCGCAGGUGGCUGUGUAAGUCUGCUGUUAAAGAGUCUACUCAACUAGAUACAAGCAGUGGAAACUACACGGCUAGAGUACGUUCGGGCAGAGGGAAUUCCUGGUGUAGCGGUGAAUGCGUAGAGAUCAGGAAGAACACCGGUGGCGAAGGCGCUCUGCUAGGCCGUAACUGACACUGAGGGACGAAGCUAGGGAGCGAAUGGG
RNAcentral lists this ribosomal RNA (248 nucleotides) under uncultured bacterium. RNAcentral's name for it is "partial 16S ribosomal RNA". It matches the Rfam family "Bacterial small subunit ribosomal RNA", at positions 524 to 776 of the family's 1533-position model. The record is from RNAcentral.